Molecule: ribosomal RNA, 822 nt
Filed under: Gonatophragmium physciae
Lineage: Eukaryota; Fungi; Ascomycota; Dothideomycetes; Acrospermales; Acrospermaceae
Description: partial large subunit ribosomal RNA
Rfam family: Eukaryotic large subunit ribosomal RNA
Source: RNAcentral
CCUCAGUAACGGCGAGUGAAGCGGCAACAGCUCAAAUUUGAAAUCUGGCGCCCCUGGGCGUCCGAGUUGUAAUUUGCAGAGGAUGCUUCGGGAUCGGCGCUGCCCCAGGUUCUUUGGAACAGGACGCCACAGAGGGUGAGAGCCCCGUCUCUGGGCGGCAGCCGGUACCGUGUGAAGCGCCUUCGACGAGUCGAGUUGUUUGGGAAUGCAGCUCAAAACGGGAGGUAAAUUUCUUCCAAGGCUAAAUACAGGCCGGAGACCGAUAGCGCACAAGUAGAGUGAUCGAAAGAUGAAAAGUACUUUGGAAAGAGAGUCAAACAGCGCGUGAAAUUGUUGAAAGGGAAGCGCUUGCAGUCAGACUUGGCCGCCCGGUUCGGCGGGGCCUCGCGCCCCGUCUCCGCCGUGGCGGUCAGGCCAGCAUUGGUUCGGGCGACCGGAGAAAGGCUGCGGGAAUGUGGCUCCUCUCGGGGAGUGUUAUAGCCCGCGGCAGAAUACGGCCAGCCCGGACCAAGGAACGCGCUUCGGCUCGGAUGCUGGCGUAAUGGCUGCAAGCGGCCCGUCUUGAAACACGGACCAAGGAGUCUAACAUCUGUGCGAGUGUUUGGGUGUCAAGCCCUUGCGCGCAAUGAAAGUGAACGGAGGUGGGAGCCCUCGGGCGCACCAUCGACCGAUCCUGAUGUCUUCGGAAGGAUUUGAGUAAGAGCACAGCUGUUGGGACCCGAAAGAUGGUGAACUAUGCCUAAGCAGGGUGAAGCCAGAGGAAACUCUGGUGGAGGCUCGCAGCGGUUCUGACGUGCAAAUCGAUCGUCAAAUUUGGGUAUA